Long non-coding RNA from Homo sapiens (human), 1666 nucleotides. Ensembl annotates it as long intergenic non-protein coding RNA 1741. NCBI's taxonomy places the organism in Eukaryota, Metazoa, Chordata, Mammalia, Primates, Hominidae. The record is from Ensembl.
AUCUGUGUCAGAAUUCUAAAGCUCAGAGAUUCUCCAUGCUGCAUCCCCCAUACCAUCUAUAUCUAAGGCUGGGGUGUAAAGUAAGAAAUGGUUUUCAACAAGCAUGCUAGGGCCACCACAACUAAUCCCACUGCCCUGCAAGCAUCUCCAGAUGAUUUUGAUGCAGUUGGUCCACAGGUCACAGCCUGAAAAACUCUAAGACCGUCAGCUGAUCAACUACAAUAAUAUUCUCUCCAGCAUUCCAGACAAUGGCUUUCCAACCCCUUUAAGGACUGGGGUUUACUACCUACUCAAGCAGUCCAUUUGUCUUCAGUCAGAUGACUAUUAAAAAGUUCUUUCAUAUACUGGGUCCAAACAGGACUUUCUGAACUUUCUGGCUAUUGUUACCAGUUCUCUUUUGUGCAGCUCAGAGUAUUUCGAGGCCAAUGGCCUGAGCUACAAGUGAUUGAAAGGGCAACUUAGGUUCAGGUGAUUCCUCGAAAGAUUUGGUCCACAUGACUGCUCACUCACCGGUAAAAGGGCUUAAUGUAAGCCAGCUAUAUUGCUGACUGUGCAAGGAUGUGGGGUUGUCUGAGAAUAGCCUUCAAUGGCACUGACUGACUAGGAGAGCCUCAAGAAUACUUUAUAAAGCCCAUGGUUGCGCAGUGAAUCUGGGAACCUGAUAAGAAAAUAGGUUGCUACGGUUCUGCUUAUUAGAGUGGACUCCUAGACCUAAUGAAAAUGCUAAAUUAUAAAUCCAGAAUAAGAACUGGAAUAAAGUUCUCUAGAAUUACUAGAAACAGCAAAAGAAAACUGGAUGAAGACAAUAUUGGAGCUUUUCUACUUUAGCUGACAAGCUGGCACUGUACUGGAUACUGAGAAAAAAGUGGUAAACAAAACUAACAUGGUCUCUACUCUCCUGGAAUUAAAAGUCUAGUGAGGGAUGACACAGUAAACCAUAAAGAAAAUAUUAAACGAAAAUGCAGGAGUACCUUCCAUUUGGGAAACAGCUGUCUUUCUACUAUAAGGAGAAACCUGGUGCUUUUCUGCCUGGUACUGUCCCAGCACGGCACAUGUGAUAUUCCUUGGAUUGAGAGCAGAGUCAUGAUAAUAGCCACUGCUGGUGGAUGACCCAACACAGCCAGCCUCAGUCAUCUCACCCUUGGCAAAACAAUCUUUCUAGAGCCAAAUACUUGAGGGAUCUCCCUUGGCACAUAGCUUCCUGCAUAUCCUGACUCUCUUCUGGCUGUUCUCUUCCAACCUACAAAGAUGUAAGGUGAAUUUAAUUCAGGACCACUGGAGAAGAGCAGAAGCAGAUCCCUCCUAUCUCUCCAUGACCUCCUCAGCAAGCAGGCCAUGUCCUCCAGCCCACUCCCUGUCCCACUGCCUGCCCAUACAUACUCCAGGAGAACAGUACCUGUUUACGGUCUCUUGGCUCUCUGGAGUGUGGAGUGCUCUCAGAGUUGAGAGGGGAAGACACUGGCAUGCCAUGAGCAGGACUGCCUUGGAGCCAACUCACAGCUGAGCUUCCUACCUGGUCUUCCAGGGAAGGUGGAGCUUCAAGAAGCUUGACCUCCUCAUAGCACCAGCGUAAAGGGCAGUUAACUGUUUGGGCAUCAAAAUAGGCAUUGUGUGAGUUGUUGUGUAUCCCCAGACCAACGUGACAAUAGAAACAAAUUAUUCCUAA